CCCUUAGAUGUUCUGGGCCGUACGCGCGCUACACUGAUGCAUUCAACGAGUCUAAAACCUGCUCUGAUAGGGGUGGGUAAUCUUUUGAAUGUGCAUCGUGAUUGGGAUAGAUGAUUGAAAUUUUUCAUCUUCAACGAGGAAUGCCUAGUAAACGCAAGUCAUCAGCUUGCAUUGAUUACGUCCCUGCCCUUUGUACACACCGCCCGUCGCUCCUACCGAUUGAAUGAUCCGAUGAAUAUCAUGGAUUGAGGAUGCAAGUAGGUUCACCUAUCUUCAUCUUCGAGAAGUGAAGUAAAUCUUAUCAUUUAGAGGAAGGAGAAGUCGUAACA
This 329-nucleotide ribosomal RNA is filed under the name uncultured eukaryote. RNAcentral's name for it is "partial 18S ribosomal RNA". It matches the Rfam family "Eukaryotic small subunit ribosomal RNA", at positions 1470 to 1796 of the family's 1831-position model. The record is from RNAcentral.